Anneissia japonica is the source of this 696-nucleotide long non-coding RNA. RefSeq lists it as uncharacterized. The transcript has 3 exons. NCBI's taxonomy places the organism in Eukaryota, Metazoa, Echinodermata, Crinoidea, Comatulida, Comatulidae. The record is from RefSeq and is a predicted model, not a curated record.
GGCGCAUUAGAAAAAGAAUAAUUGUUUUUUUAUACUACUCCAGGUGGCGUUUUACAUAUAAACAAUGCAUUACUCAAUGGACUACGAAGUAGACUUUAUAAUUAAUAACAAUUCUCAAGACAGACGGUGCCAUUUAAAUUGGACCUCAUUGGAAAUGGGCUGGACUCCGGCCUAAUUGGCGUUCCUGAUGCUCAUUACGUGAUGUAGACAAAGAAGCCACAACUAUCAGGAUAGAAUGUUCGGACUCAAUCGUGAAAGGGCAAUAGAACUUACCAAUUAUUCAUAGAUAGCCAAAAAUUGUGUCACUCAUCAAGCUUCCUGCCAGCUGGGCUUUCCGGGCAAGAAAUUCUGGAUUGAAAUUAAUUAAAAUAUAGUGUAAAUUUAAUUUUUUAAAUGUUUCCUCUGCAAUAAUCUCAAAUAUAAAUGUUAGCAAUAUGUAGUAAUUCUUAUAGGCUUUAUGUUUAUUAAUAUUGUAUUAUUACUGCUAAUGUUUAUCUUAUUAAUAGAGAAAGUAACCCGUUUGUUUUAAAGAAUAUAGACAUGUAAGAUAAUAAGAUAUAACAUUUUGAGGAUUAAAAUCAGAUUUAUUAAUUUGUGCCGGAUGUACAUAAUAUAGGCCUACAGUAUAUUAUAAAAUGUAUAUAUAAUUAUAUCACAACUUUAUUUCAAUGCUUGAAAAUAAAUAUCAAAAUGGAA